RNAcentral lists this ribosomal RNA (493 nucleotides) under uncultured bacterium. RNAcentral describes it as "bacterial SSU rRNA". It matches the Rfam family "Bacterial small subunit ribosomal RNA", at positions 903 to 1397 of the family's 1533-position model. The record is from RNAcentral.
AAAUGAAUAGACGGGGACCCGCACAAGCGGUGGAGCAUGUGGUUUAAUUCGACGCAACGCGAGGAACCUUACCAGAUCUUGACAUCCUCAGAAUCGAACAGAAGUGUUUGAGUGCCUUCGGGAACUGAGAGACAGGUGGUGCAUGGCUGUCGACAGCUCGUGUCGUGAGAUGUUGGGUUAAGUCCCGCAACGAGCGCAACCCCUAUCGUUAGUUACCAUCAUUAAGUUGGGGACUCUAGCGAGACUGCCUGCGAAGAGCAGGAGGAAGGUGGGGAUGACGUCAAGUCAUCAUGCCCCUUAUGAUCUGGGCUACACACGUGCUACAAUGGAUGGUACAAAGAGGAGCGAAAUGGUGACAUGGAGCAAAUCUCAAAAGCCAUUCCCAGUUCGGAUUGAAGUCUGCAACUCGACUUCAUGAAGUUGGAAUCGCUAGUAAUCGCAAAUCAGCAAUGUUGCGGUGAAUACGUUCUCGGGUCUUGUACACACCGCCCGU